This 494-nucleotide ribosomal RNA is filed under the name uncultured bacterium. RNAcentral describes it as "partial 16S ribosomal RNA". It matches the Rfam family "Bacterial small subunit ribosomal RNA", at positions 28 to 507 of the family's 1533-position model. The record is from RNAcentral.
GACGAACGCUGGCGGCGUGCUUAACACAUGCAAGUCGAACGGUGAAGCGCCUUCCUUUUUGGUGGGUGUGGAUGAGUGGCGAACGGGUGAGUAACACGUGAGUAACCUGCCCCCUUCUUCUGGAUAACCGCAUGAAAGUGUGGCUAAUACGGGAUAUUCUGGGUCUGUCGCAUGAUGGGUCUGGGAAAGAUAUUGUUUCGGUGGGGGAUGGGCUCGCGGCCUAUCAGCUUGUUGGUGGGGUGAUGGCCUACCAAGGCGGUGACGGGUAGCCGGCCUGAGAGGGUGGACGGCCACACUGGGACUGCGACACGGCCCAGACUCCUACGGGAGGCAGCAGUGGGGAAUAUUGCACAAUGGGCGCAAGCCUGAUGCAGCGACGCCGCGUGAGGGAUGGAGGCCUUCGGGUUGUGAACCUCUUUCGCCAGUGAAGCAGGCCUGCCUCGUUUGUGGGUGGGUUGACGGUAGCUGGAUAAGAAGCGCCGGCUAACUACGUG